GACGAACGCUGGCGGCGUGCUUAACACAUGCAAGUCGAACGGAAAGGCCCUGCUUUUGUGGGGUGCUCGAGUGGCGAACGGGGGAGUAACACGUGAGUAACCUGCCCUUGACUUUGGGAUAACUUCAGGAAACUGGGGCUAAUACCGGAUAGGAGCUCCUGCUGCAUGGUGGGGGUUGGAAAGUUUCGGCGGUUGGGGAUGGACUCGCGGCUUAUCAGCUUGUUGGUGGGGUAGUGGAUUACCAAGGCUUUGACGGGUAGCCGGCCUGAGAGGGUGACCGGCCACCUUGGGACUGCGAUACGGCCCAGACUCCUACGGGAGGCAGCAGUGGGGAACAUUGCACAAUGGGCGGAAGCCUGAUGCAGCAACGCCGCGUGCGGGAUGACGGCCUUCGGGUUGUAAACCGCUUUCGCCGGUGACGAAGCGUGAGUGACGGUAAUGGGUAAAGAAGCACCGGCUAACUACGUG
Molecule: ribosomal RNA, 468 nt
Filed under: uncultured bacterium
Lineage: Bacteria
Description: partial 16S ribosomal RNA
Rfam family: Bacterial small subunit ribosomal RNA
Source: RNAcentral